This 672-nucleotide ribosomal RNA is filed under the name uncultured Candidatus Saccharibacteria bacterium. Its description in RNAcentral is "bacterial SSU rRNA". It matches the Rfam family "Bacterial small subunit ribosomal RNA", at positions 571 to 1254 of the family's 1533-position model. The record is from RNAcentral. Lineage: Bacteria; Candidatus Saccharimonadota.
GUAGGUGGUUUAAUAAGCGAAUAGUGAAAUCUGGUGGCUCAACCAUUCAGACUAUUAUUCGAACUGUUAAACUCGAGAGCAGAAGAGGUAGCNUGGAAUUUCUAGUGUAGGAGUGAAAUCCGUAGAUAUUAGAAGGAACACCGAUGGCGUAGGCAGGCUACUGGGCUGUUUCUGACACUGAGGCACGAAAGCGUGGGGAGCGAACCGGAUUAGAUACCCGGGUAGUCCACGCCGUAAACGAUGGAUACUAGCUGUUUGGGGUAUCGACCCCCUGAGUAGCGAAGCUAACGCGUUAAGUAUCCCGCCUGUGGAGUACGAUCGCAAGAUUAAAACAUAAAGGAAUUGACGGGGACCCGCACAAGCGGUGGAUCAUGUUCUUUAAUUCGAUGAUAACCGAUAAACCUUACCAGGUCUUGACAUCCUUGGAAUCUUUCAGAAAUGAGAGAGUGCUUUUUAAGAGCCAAGUGACAGGUGAUGCAUGGCCGUCGUCAGCUCGUGUCGUGAGAUGUUUGGUUAAGUCCAUCAACGAGCGCAACCCUUGUCAGUAGUUGUAUUUUUCUACUGAGACUGCCCCGGUAACGGGGAGGAAGGAGGGGAUGACGUCAGGUCAGUAUUUCCCUUACGUCCUGGGCUAGAAACGUGAUACAAUGGCUAGUACAAUGCGCAGCGAAG